GGUGUGGCUUUAUUGGAGGAAAUGUAUCACUGGGGAUGGGCUUUGAGGUCUCAGAAGCUCAAGUCAGGCCUAGUGGCUCAAUUCUCUUCCUGCUGCCUGCUUAUCC
RNAcentral lists this microRNA precursor (106 nucleotides) under Mesocricetus auratus (golden hamster). Its description in RNAcentral is "miRNA (ENSMAUG00000004204.1)". The record is from RNAcentral. Lineage: Eukaryota; Metazoa; Chordata; Mammalia; Rodentia; Cricetidae.